Molecule: ribosomal RNA, 1659 nt
Filed under: Salmonella enterica subsp. enterica serovar Hadar
Lineage: Bacteria; Pseudomonadati; Pseudomonadota; Gammaproteobacteria; Enterobacterales; Enterobacteriaceae
Description: partial 23S ribosomal RNA
Rfam family: Bacterial large subunit ribosomal RNA
Source: RNAcentral
GGGUUGUGAGGUUAAGCGACUAAGCGUACACGGUGGAUGCCCUGGCAGUCAGAGGCGAUGAAGGGCGUGCUAAUCUGCGAUAAGCGCCGGUAAGGUGAUAUGAACCGUUAUAACCGGCGAUACCCGAAUGGGGAAACCCAGUGUGAUUCGUCACACUAUCAUUAACUGAAUCCAUAGGUUAAUGAGGCGAACCGGGGGAACUGAAACAUCUAAGUACCCCGAGGAAAAGAAAUCAACCGAGAUUCCCCCAGUAGCGGCGAGCGAACGGGGAGGAGCCCAGAGCCUGAAUCAGCAUGUGUGUUAGUGGAAGCGUCUGGAAAGGCGCGCGAUACAGGGUGACAGCCCCGUACACAAAAGCGCAUGUGCUGUGAGCUCGAUGAGUAGGGCGGGACACGUGGUAUCCUGUCUGAAUAUGGGGGGACCAUCCUCCAAGGCUAAAUACUCCUGACUGACCGAUAGUGAACCAGUACCGUGAGGGAAAGGCGAAAAGAACCCCGGCGAGGGGAGUGAAAAAGAACCUGAAACCGUGUACGUACAAGCAGUGGGAGCACCCUUUGGGGUGUGACUGCGUACCUUUUGUAUAAUGGGUCAGCGACUUAUAUUCUGUAGCAAGGUUAACCGUAUAGGGGAGCCGUAGGGAAACCGAGUCUUAACCGGGCGUUAAGUUGCAGGGUAUAGACCCGAAACCCGGUGAUCUAGCCAUGGGCAGGUUGAAGGUUGGGUAACACUAACUGGAGGACCGAACCGACUAAUGUUGAAAAAUUAGCGGAUGACCUGUGGCUGGGGGUGAAAGGCCAAUCAAACCGGGAGAUAGCUGGUUCUCCCCGAAAGCUAUUUAGGUAGCGCCUCGUGAAUUCAUCUCCGGGGGUAGAGCACUGUUUCGGCUAGGGGGCCAUCCCGGCUUACCAACCCGAUGCAAACUGCGAAUACCGGAGAAUGUUAUCACGGGAGACACACGGCGGGUGCUAACGUCCGUCGUGAAGAGGGAAACAACCCAGACCGCCAGCUAAGGUCCCAAAGUCAUGGUUAAGUGGGAAACGAUGUGGGAAGGCCCAGACAGCCAGGAUGUUGGCUUAGAAGCAGCCAUCAUUUAAAGAAAGCGUAAUAGCUCACUGGUCGAGUCGGCCUGCGCGGAAGAUGUAACGGGGCUAAACCAUGCACCGAAGCUGCGGCAGCGACGCUUAUGCGUUGUUGGGUAGGGGAGCGUUCUGUAAGCCUGUGAAGGUGGCCUGUGAGGGUUGCUGGAGGUAUCAGAAGUGCGAAUGCUGACAUAAGUAACGAUAAAGCGGGUGAAAAGCCCGCUCGCCGGAAGACCAAGGGUUCCUGUCCAACGUUAAUCGGGGCAGGGUGAGUCGACCCCUAAGGCGAGGCCGAAAGGCGUAGUCGAUGGGAAACGGGUUAAUAUUCCCGUACUUGGUGUUACUGCGAAGGGGGGACGGAGAAGGCUAUGUUGGCCGGGCGACGGUUGUCCCGGUUUAAGCGUGUAGGCUGGUUUUCCAGGCAAAUCCGGAAAAUCAAGGCUGAGGCGUGACGACGAGGCACUACGGUGCUGAAGCAACAAAUGCCCUGCUUCCAGGAAAAGCCUCUAAGCAUCAGGUAACAUCAAAUCGUACCCCAAACCGACACAGGUGGUCAGGUAGAGAAUACCAAGGCGCUUGA